This is a long non-coding RNA of Amphiprion ocellaris (clown anemonefish), 1048 nucleotides long. The record is from Ensembl. NCBI's taxonomy places the organism in Eukaryota, Metazoa, Chordata, Actinopteri, Pomacentridae.
UAUUAAUAAUAACAGUAUCUCUUUUAAUGAACAUUGCAGAUACAUAAUAGAAAAUAAAUCAGAAAACAGGAGAGACGUCGUCUCAAGAGUCGUGAAAGUGCCUUGAAUAAUUCUGUGCUAUAUAUUGUCAUUGUUACUCAUCAAUCGUUAUCACCUUUCCCAUCAAAGCCACGUCGCCAGAAAGUCGUCAUGAAACAAAAGUGUGUGUGUCGUUCUGCUUAGAAAACGUUUGUAUUCACAGAGCCUCCCAAAGCAGCAGGACUCCUGUCGAAAUCUCAUCGAUUCCUCGCGUUUGAAACCUCCAGUCAGGAUUAGGAUUUCUGCUUUGAGAGGCCUUGUGAUUAAUGACCACUGGUUUCAUGAAUAUGGCUCGAUUGUCUUCAUCUUAAUCAUGUUAUUGUCUUGAUUAUAUUUACACAAUGCCUUAUCAAAGAGCACAGCAAACUGAUGGUGCUCUUAAUCCAUGUUACUUUUCAUACGGGGGGGGGGGGGGGGUGGUGGUGGUGGUGGAUAAAUAUAGGCCUGGUUUAAAUGAUCUAUUUGAAAAAUCUCCAAUAACACUGAAUUCCCCCAAAAAAUCCAGGCCCGGUUUGAAAUAUUCACCGAAAGUAGAGUUAAAACGAAGAUUUGAAGGAGAUAAAAAGGGUGGGGGAAGAAACACAAGUUGUCAUUUAUUGUUUACACGUUCAACACUUUGCAUAUUUUAUGGCACUAAAUGAAACAUCUAUGAGAUGUUGCAGGUAUUUUUAGUAUGAGGUUAGUUUCUCGAAAACAAAAAAAAACCCAAAUGACUUGGCACAGCUGCAGGAGGAUCUGUGAGAAUAGCUCUUAUUUGGAUGAAUCACGAUGGGGGGAAAAAGAAAGACCAUUUCGUAAAUGGUUUACUUUAGCUUGCUUUGGUCUAAAGUAGCAUGUCUGUUGUAGUUACAUAUACACCAGGAUUUAAUUUGCAUUUCUAACAACAUUCUCGUCACUCUUUAGCAUAUUUGGAAGGGUUUCAUUCUAAAAGGCUUUGAAGAAAAUACACCUCAUGUUGAUUAUUGGUCAG